Molecule: non-coding RNA, 670 nt
Organism: Clostridium sp.
Lineage: Bacteria; Bacillati; Bacillota; Clostridia; Eubacteriales; Clostridiaceae
Source: Rfam
AUAAGCCUUGGGUAGUCGCAAAUAGGCAGAGAUCCAGGGAUUUCCGAAUGAGGGAACUCACAUGGGUAACCCCAUGUAUCAUGCACUGAAUACAUAGGUGUAUGAGGGUAAACCCGGGGAACUGAAACAUCUAAGUACCCGGAGGAAGAGAAAGAAAAAUCGAUUUCCUAAGUAGCGGCGAGCGAACGGGAAAGAGCCCAAACCAGAAACUUGUUUCUGGGGUUGAGGAUAGAUCAUAAAAGAAGAGGUAUCUUAAACGAAAAGGGCUGGAACGCCCUACCAUAGAAGGUAAUAGUCCUGUAGAUGAAAAGAGAAAACUUCGAGAUCUAAUCCAGAGUACCACGAGACACGUGAAACCUUGUGGGAAGCAGGGAGGACCACCUCCCAAGGCUAAAUACUAACUAGUGACCGAUAGUGAAGCAGUACCGUGAGGGAAAGGUGAAAAGAACCCCGGGAGGGGAGUGAAAUAGAACCUGAAACCGUGUGCCUACAACCGAUCGGAGCACGUUAAAGUGUGACGAUGUGCUUUUUGUAGAACGAGCCAGCGAGUUACGCUAUGUAGCAAGGUUAAGUACUUAAGGUAUGGAGCCGAAGGGAAACCGAGUCUGAAAAGGGCGAAAAGUUGCAUGGUGUAGACCCGAAACCGGGUGACCUAUCCAUGGCCAGGUUG